RNAcentral lists this ribosomal RNA (542 nucleotides) under uncultured bacterium. RNAcentral describes it as "bacterial SSU rRNA". It matches the Rfam family "Bacterial small subunit ribosomal RNA", at positions 777 to 1319 of the family's 1533-position model. The record is from RNAcentral.
AAUAGAUACCCUGGUAGUCCACGCCGUAAACGGUGGGUACUAGGUGUGGGGUCCAUUUCACGGACUCCGUGCCGUAGCUAACGCAUUAAGUACCCCGCCUGGGGAGUACGGCCGCAAGGCUAAACUCAAAGGAAUUGACGGGGGCCCGCACAAGCGGCGGAGCAUGUGGAUUAAUUCGAUGCAACGCGAAGAACCUUACCUGGGUUUGACAUAUACCGGAAACACCUAGAGAUAGGUGCCCCCUUGUGGUCGGUAUACAGGUGGUGCAUGGCUGUCGUCAGCUCGUGUCGUGAGAUGUUGGGUUAAGUCCCGCAACGAGCGCAACCCUUGUCCUGUAUUGCCAGCGGGUUAUGCCGGGGACUUGCAGGAGACUGCCGGGGUCAACUCGGAGGAAGGUGGGGAUGACGUCAAGUCAUCAUGCCCCUUAUGUCCAGGGCUUCACACAUGCUACAAUGGCGCGUACAGAGGGCUGCGAGACCGUGAGGUGGAGCGAAUCCCUUAAAGCGCGUCUCAGUUCGGAUUGGGGUCUGCAACUCGACCCC